RNAcentral lists this ribosomal RNA (2791 nucleotides) under Burkholderia cenocepacia K56-2Valvano. RNAcentral's name for it is "bacterial LSU rRNA". It matches the Rfam family "Bacterial large subunit ribosomal RNA". Lineage: Bacteria; Pseudomonadati; Pseudomonadota; Betaproteobacteria; Burkholderiales; Burkholderiaceae. The record is from RNAcentral.
AACGAGCUUUGAUCCGUAGAUGUCCGAAUGGGGAAACCCGGCCCUUUUGGGUCAUCCCUAGACUGAAUACAUAGGUCUAGUGAAGCGAACGCGGUGAACUGAAACAUCUAAGUAACCGCAGGAAAAGAAAUCAACCGAGAUUCCCAAAGUAGUGGCGAGCGAAAUGGGAUGAGCCUUGCACUCUUUAUUUGUAUUGUUAGCCGAACGCUCUGGAAAGUGCGGCCAUAGCAGGUGAUAGCCCUGUAGGCGAAAACAGUAUGAAAGAACUAGGUGUGCGACAAGUAGGGCGGGACACGUGAAAUCCUGUCUGAAGAUGGGGGGACCAUCCUCCAAGGCUAAAUACUCGUGAUCGACCGAUAGUGAACCAGUACCGUGAGGGAAAGGCGAAAAGAACCCCGGGAGGGGAGUGAAAUAGAUCCUGAAACCGCAUGCAUACAAACAGUCGGAGCCUCGCAAGGGGUGACGGCGUACCUUUUGUAUAAUGGGUCAGCGACUUACGUUCAGUAGCAAGCUUAACCGUAUAGGGCAGGCGUAGCGAAAGCGAGUCCGAAUAGGGCGUUCAGUUGCUGGGCGUAGACCCGAAACCAGGUGAUCUAUCCAUGGCCAGGAUGAAGGUGCGGUAACACGUACUGGAGGUCCGAACCCACUAACGUUGAAAAGUUAGGGGAUGAGCUGUGGAUAGGGGUGAAAGGCUAAACAAACCUGGAAAUAGCUGGUUCUCUCCGAAAACUAUUUAGGUAGUGCCUCGUGUCUCACCUUCGGGGGUAGAGCACUGUCAUGGUUGGGGGGUCUAUUGCAGAUUACCCCGCCAUAGCAAACUCCGAAUACCGAAGAGUGCAAUCACGGGAGACAGACAUCGGGUGCUAACGUCCGGUGUCAAGAGGGAAACAACCCAGACCGCCAGCUAAGGUCCCCAAAUAUAGCUAAGUGGGAAACGAAGUGGGAAGGCUAAAACAGUCAGGAGGUUGGCUUAGAAGCAGCCACCCUUUAAAGAAAGCGUAAUAGCUCACUGAUCGAGUCGUCCUGCGCGGAAGAUGUAACGGGGCUAAGCUAUAUACCGAAGCUGCGGAUGCGAGCUUGCUCGCAUGGUAGGAGAGCGUUCCGUAAGCCUGCGAAGGUGCCUUGUAAAGGGUGCUGGAGGUAUCGGAAGUGCGAAUGCUGACAUGAGUAGCGAUAAAGGGGGUGAAAGGCCCCCUCGCCGUAAGCCCAAGGUUUCCUACGCAACGUUCAUCGGCGUAGGGUGAGUCGGCCCCUAAGGCGAGGCAGAAAUGCGUAGCUGAUGGGAAGCAGGUCAAUAUUCCUGCACCAUUGUUAGAUGCGAUGGGGGGACGGAUCGCGGAAGGUUGUCCGGGUGUUGGAAGUCCCGGUCGCUGCAUUGGAGAAGGCGCUUAGGCAAAUCCGGGCGCAGGAUUCAAGGGUGUGGCGCGAGCUCCUUAGGGAGCGAAGCAAUUGGAAGUGGUUCCAAGAAAAGCCUCUAAGCUUCAGUCUAACGAUGACCGUACCGCAAACCGACACAGGUGGGCGAGAUGAGUAUUCUAAGGCGCUUGAGAGAACUCGGGAGAAGGAACUCGGCAAAUUGGUACCGUAACUUCGGGAUAAGGUACGCCCUUGUAGCUUGACUGGCCUGCGCCAGGAGGGUGAAGGGGUUGCAAUAAACUGGUGGCUGCGACUGUUUAAUAAAAACACAGCACUCUGCAAACACGAAAGUGGACGUAUAGGGUGUGACGCCUGCCCGGUGCCGGAAGAUUAAAUGAUGGGGUGCAAGCUCUUGAUUGAAGUCCCGGUAAACGGCGGCCGUAACUAUAACGGUCCUAAGGUAGCGAAAUUCCUUGUCGGGUAAGUUCCGACCUGCACGAAUGGCGUAACGAUGGCCACACUGUCUCCUCCCGAGACUCAGCGAAGUUGAAGUGUUUGUGAUGAUGCAAUCUACCCGCGGCUAGACGGAAAGACCCCAUGAACCUUUACUGUAGCUUUGCAUUGGACUUUGAACCGAUCUGUGUAGGAUAGGUGGGAGGCUAUGAAACCGGAACGCUAGUUUCGGUGGAGCCGUCCUUGAAAUACCACCCUGGUUUGUUUGAGGUUCUAACCUUGGCCCGUGAUCCGGGUCGGGGACAGUGCAUGGUAGGCAGUUUGACUGGGGCGGUCUCCUCCCAAAGCGUAACGGAGGAGUACGAAGGUACGCUAGGUACGGUCGGAAAUCGUGCUGAUAGUGCAAUGGCAUAAGCGUGCUUAACUGCGAGACCGACAAGUCGAGCAGGUGCGAAAGCAGGUCAUAGUGAUCCGGUGGUUCUGUAUGGAAGGGCCAUCGCUCAACGGAUAAAAGGUACUCUGGGGAUAACAGGCUGAUACCGCCCAAGAGUUCAUAUCGACGGCGGUGUUUGGCACCUCGAUGUCGGCUCAUCUCAUCCUGGGGCUGUAGCCGGUCCCAAGGGUAUGGCUGUUCGCCAUUUAAAGAGGUACGUGAGCUGGGUUUAAAACGUCGUGAGACAGUUUGGUCCCUAUCUGCCGUGGGCGUUGGAUAUUUGAAGGGGGCUGCUCCUAGUACGAGAGGACCGGAGUGGACGAACCUCUGGUGUACCGGUUGUCACGCCAGUGGCAUCGCCGGGUAGCUAUGUUCGGAAGAGAUAACCGCUGAAAGCAUCUAAGCGGGAAACUCGCCUUAAGAUGAGAUAUCCCUGGGGACUAGAUCCCCUUGAAGGGUCGUUCGAGACCAGGACGUUGAUAGGUCAGGUGUGUAAGCGCAGUAAUGCGUUCAGCUAACUGAUACUAAUUGCCCGUAAGGCUUGAUCCU